UGGGGAAUAUUGGACAAUGGGCGGAAGCCUGAUCCAGCCAUGCCGCGUGUGUGAAGAAGGCCUUUUGGUUGUAAAGCACUUUAAGCGAGGAGGAGGCUACUUGGAUUAAUACCCUAGGAUAGUGGACGUUACUCGCAGAAUAAGCACCGGCUAACUCUGUGCCAGCAGCCGCGGUAAUACAGAGGGUGCGAGCGUUAAUCGGAUUUACUGGGCGUAAAGCGUGCGUAGGCGGCUUCUUAAGUCGGAUGUGAAAUCCCUGAGCUUAACUUAGGAAUUGCAUUCGAUACUGGGAAGCUAGAGUAUGGGAGAGGAUGGUAGAAUUCCAGGUGGAGCGGUGAAAUGCGUAGAGAUCUGGAGGAAUACCGAUGGCGAAGGCAGCCAUCUGGCCUAAUACUGACGCUGAGGUACGAAAGCAUGGGGAGCAAACAGG
This 430-nucleotide ribosomal RNA is filed under the name Acidobacteriota bacterium. RNAcentral describes it as "Acidobacteria bacterium partial 16S ribosomal RNA". It matches the Rfam family "Bacterial small subunit ribosomal RNA", at positions 355 to 776 of the family's 1533-position model. Lineage: Bacteria; Pseudomonadati; Acidobacteriota. The record is from RNAcentral.